Molecule: long non-coding RNA, 4057 nt
Organism: Amphiprion ocellaris (clown anemonefish)
Lineage: Eukaryota; Metazoa; Chordata; Actinopteri; Pomacentridae
Source: Ensembl
AGCCAGAGAGCAGUGAUUGGUCAGACCAUAGGCAAUUUAGAAGACAGCGCGCUAGCGUAUCUGUUCUAUGUAUAUCUAUGGUCGGUACAUCUGGUAGCAUCUCUGGCUGCUGUUGACCUUGUUUUUGGAGUAAAACACGGUGGAAGCUGAAUUAGUAAGGAUGACUCCUGCUCCUGUCAUCUCUAAGCUCCUCACACAUCUUUACCUGCACAUGAGGAAAAUCACUCCUGUAGAAUGCAGAUGUUCAGAGGGAGAUGAUGCCACAUCUGGUCCAGCUGAUGGAAGGUCUUGAAGUUCUCUGACUGGCCUCGACUGAAGAUGGUCGUCUCACUGGAUUUAAGGUUCAGAUGCUCAGUAACAAACUCCACCAAUGUGCCAACAGGGAAGCUUUAGGUUUAUUAAAUGUUGCUAUGAAGGUUUCGCUGUUUUUCUUUGUGAAUGCAAUGUGCUCCAACUGAAACUUGAAUUAGAACUUAGAAGUAAAUCCUUCCAUCUGAAAGGAUUUAGUUGCAUUAAUAACCUCAUAACAUUCUAAUUUUUAUUACAGUUUUGGCUGAAAAUAGAAUCUCUGUAUUGAUUCAGGUAAAAACUGAACUUCACAGCAUGUUGAAGCAAAACAACCAGAUGAAAACUGUGAUGGUGUUGGAUUGUCAGACCGUAAUGUUGCAGCUCAAAGCAGCUUUUCUAUCUCAGUUCAUUCUGACAUUCAGCUAUGAAUCAACACAGCAGAUGGUGAUCCAUGCUGUGGAAGUCUCACAUCUCCUGAUUUAAUGGAGCUGCUUUGCACUUUUUACACUGUUUAUUCACCAACACUUUAUUUAAUAAAAGUCCCAUUUAGUUUUUAUGAGGAAUGUGAUGUUUUAAUUUCUCUGUGAAUAACUGCAGUCUAAUGCAACAGCUGGAGUUGUAACAUCUGUCCUGAUAUUGAUCAUGAAGUAUUGAUCAGAAUACUGAUGGUCAGCAGUCAUCCCUGAAGUUUUACAUUAAAAUCUUUACUUGUGUUGUGAACUUUGGUAAGAAGCAGAAACGUUAGCGUUGCCAUGGAUACAUGAGUGUUAAAUUCAGUCCAUGUUUCCAUUUUGGGAAAUGCAGUCCAGUUCCAGAAUGUGGAGGAAUUUAGUCUCACAAUCACAGACAACAAAUAUUAUCUGAAAGCCGGGUUAUUGUUGUUUAUCAGCACAAUACAAAAAGAUCAAUGUUAGAAAUAUUCCAGUUAAGACUCUAGAAUACCAUGAUUUAUGUAAAUUUACCUAAAUAAUAUGAAUGUUCAGGUUAAAAUUGUACAGUGAUAUUUAUUAUGUAAGUUUAGCUGAUUAAAGUUUAUGACUCUGCACUAAAAUAUUAUUUAAAUUGACAUCAUUAUUAUAAUAUUUAGGGUCAGACCCUACAGUAUUGAGAUUAAGAAAUCAAAUAUUCUAUAAAAUGUAAAUACACUGAACUCAUUUGGAUAUAUUUAAGUGAGACUCUACAAUAUUAUUUGACACAAAUCUAUCUAAAUCAAAAUUUUAAUAAUUUUCACACCAAACAUUUACUGGACUGAUUUAAACAUUAAAAUCACUCCUUUCUAAUCCUCUGCUGUACGUUCAAACCUGAGGCCUUAAACAGAAACACACAAGUAUCUGUUUGAAGGAACUUCUGCAGAGUCCUGGUUCCAGAACAUGAUGAUAGAAUUAUAGACAAACUUUAACAAAAGCUGCCUAAGAGUUUACAGGUUUUUAUGUUGGAUUUCUUCAGUAAUUUAAUGAGCGUUAUCAGCAAUAAUCAAGUGUUCAUUUGAUGAACUUCAUUUCCUAAAACAUCCAGAAUUGGAGCUCAUAUCUUUGACAGCUGUAAAGUUUCUGCUCCUUCAAAGUUCACAACACAAUGAAUUAAUUCCUAAAACACUCUCAAUGCUGGAGAACGUUUGUGAUGCUGAAGCAGUGAGCAGUUUUUCUGUUUCUUCUCUGGAGAUGCACAAUGAGGGACGUCUGCAGUGACUGAGAAAGAGUCUCACCACAUCCUGACAUGAGGAAAACGACUUUAUUGAAGACUACAAUGAGAAAAACUAUCAGACAGCAGAGGGCUGCAUUCAAGGUGAGCUCUGAACAUCUGAUCUGGAACAGGAAUUCAAUAACAGCAGCAUGAGCUUCAUUUCAGUCUGUAGCUGCUGAAUUCAUGGAUGAAUCAUCUGGCACUAGAGAAGAAGACCAUCAAACAUCCACGUCAGCUGAUAGAGGUCCAAGAGUCUCACCAAACAAACAACCUACAGAGUGAAGACCUCAAAUCUGAUUGGACGGCCUCCUAUUCAGCCACGUGUGAACAAAUGCCUCUAAGUUGAUUUGUUUUCUAAAAUAAAUCUAGUUUGAGUUCUAAUCUAUGUCUGUGUGUUUGCUUCUUUACACCGCUGUUAACAGUUUAGGCUGUUAGAUUGUUCCAGAUAAGACAAGAUCCUGCAGAGCCGUUCUACCACGAGCCUGACAGGAAGAACUCCAACAGCUACUGAAUGUUCCUGUGGUUCCCUCAAGGCUACAGGAGGAGUCCUACGAGGACGAGCCGGUCCACCUGAUGGUGGCCAGUUGCUGUGGUUCAAAGCCAACACCGACUACGUGGACUUCUACUGGACCACACGGAGGCCUUCAAACUGGACCACCAAGUUCACUGACUCCCCGACUCGUGGGUCUGAGGACGCCGCCGAGCCUCGGCCCAGCCGGCCUCCUGUCUGUGGGUGUUUGAGUGCUGAGAGGUUUGUGGAUGCAUGUGAACAUGUCUGUGUUGAAACAGCAGCUUUGGACUCAGUAACGCUGGGAAAAACCAAGAGCUCCUUUAUUUGUGACUUCCACUAAAAAACUGAUGAAAAUAAGUUUGCCAGGGUUCUGACUGAUAACAGAUUAUUAAAUAAUGAAAAUAAUCGUUUAAAUAUUUCUUUAAACAAUCCUUUUAGGUCUACAUUUCCUUUACACUGACUUCUUGGUAUAUGUACAACUAUUUUGGAUGGACUAUACCAUUAAGUCCAAUGUUCAAGGGUUCUUCUGGGAAUAUACCAUUAAACCAACCUUUUAGGUAAAUGUUCCAGGAUGUUGGGUAGAAUAUACCAUCAGAUCAACCUUUUAGGUCUACAUUGGAAGAUUUUAGAGUAGAAUAUUACUCCAAACCAUCCUUUAGGUCUACAUUUAAGGUGGAAUACUCCUUUACACCAAGAUUUUUUGGUCUCGAUUGAAGGAUUUUAGGUGGAAUAUUCCUUUGAAUGAACUUUUUAAGUUUAUGUUCAAGGAUGUUGGGUGGAAUAUACCAUCAGACCAACCUCCAAGGUCUACAGUAGUGAAUUUUAGCUGGAAUAUACCAUUAAACUCACCUUUUAAGUCUACAUUGGAGGAUUUUAGGUGGAAUUUUCUUCCAAACCAUCUUUUAGUCUACAUUUAAGGAUGUUUAGGAUGGUAUAUUCUUCCGAACCAACUUCUCAGGUCUUCAUUUCAGGUGGAAUAUUCCUCCAUACUAACUUUUUUGGUCUACAUUGAAAGAUUUUUUCUAAACCACCCUUUCGGGUCUAUAUUUGGGGUUUUAGGUGGAAUAUUCCUUUUAACCAGCCCCUCAGGUCUCUUUGAGGAUUUUGGAUGGAAUACUCAGUUAAAUCAACAUUUUAGGUGCAUGUCCAAGGAUUUUUGGUGGAAUGUUCCUUUAAGGUGGAUGUUUGAGGACCUUGUAGGUGGAAUACUUCCUGAAACUAACCUUUUAGGUCAACAUUCAAAGAUUUAAGGUGGAAUAUUCCUUUAAACCAACCUAAAUUUCAUGUUUUGAUCAUUAUCAAGUGAGAAACCUCAAUCCAGACUCCUCAUAAUGACGUUUGAGAUUUAUGCUGCUGUUAUUUGUUUAGUCCAGACUAAAUGACAGAAAUCCACAACUGUAAUUUUAUUUCAGGACUCGGUUAUUAAAUGUCAAAACAAUCCAUGUGACUCUAAAAACUCAACAGCUGAACUCUCCACAAGGAUCCAAAAUAAGUUGGACUUCUACAUGAGAGCUUUAAUUAUUCUUCAUCUACUACCUGAAAAGUUUGGUCAAUAAAAAAGACAAAACUAAAAAC